This 445-nucleotide ribosomal RNA is filed under the name uncultured bacterium. RNAcentral describes it as "bacterial SSU rRNA". It matches the Rfam family "Bacterial small subunit ribosomal RNA", at positions 330 to 792 of the family's 1533-position model. The record is from RNAcentral.
UCCAGACUCCUACGGGAGGCAGCAGUGGGGAAUAUUGCACAAUGGGGGAAACCCUGAUGCAGCGACGCCGCGUGAGUGAAGAAGUAUUUCGGUAUGUAAAGCUCUAUCAGCAGGGAAGAAAAUGACGGUACCUGAUUAAGAAGCCCCGGCUAACUACGUGCCAGCAGCCGCGGUAAUACGUAGGGGGCAAGCGUUAUCCGGAUUUACUGGGUGUAAAGGGAGCGUAGACGGUGAUGCAAGUCAGAAGUGAAAGCCUGGGGCUCAACUCCGGGACUGCUUUUGAAACUGUGUGACUGGAGUGCAGGAGAGGUAAGCGGAAUUCCUGGUGUAGCGGUGAAAUGCGUAGAUAUCAGGAGGAACACCAGUGGCGAAGGCGGCUUACUGGACUGUAACUGACGUUGAGGCUCGAAAGCGUGGGGGGCAAACAGGAUUAGAUACCCUUGUA